AGCUGAGGAGGUCUGAGUUAAUUGGUAGGUGUGGUUAAUGAUUAUGGCCCAUCCUACAUUGUAGUGAAGAUGUGUGGCUUAUUCUUGUUAACAAAUUGACUCUGGCUGGGACUUAAAUAUUAAAGGACCUUCUUUCUUGAUGUCUUUGGGCGACGGGACACCUUUCACUAUCAUGGGGAGUGUUGUACUCAAUCUUGGCCUGUCCGAGGCUUAACUUAUCCAUUACAACUGUAGUUACCGAGUGAGAUGGACUUUGAUGUACACAAAUGAAAUCUUACUCCUUCUCAAGGAGAUGGAUCAUCUUUUACCACGAUAGGACAGCUUAUAUUCAAUAUAUCUUUUUAAUUGUA
RNAcentral lists this long non-coding RNA (350 nucleotides) under Amphimedon queenslandica. RNAcentral's name for it is "uncharacterized LOC109591850". The record is from RNAcentral. Lineage: Eukaryota; Metazoa; Porifera; Demospongiae; Haplosclerida; Niphatidae.